GACGAACGCUGGCGGCGUGCUUAACACAUGCAAGUCGAACGGAAAGGCCCUGCUUUUGUGGGGUGCUCGAGUGGCGAACGGGUGAGUAACACGUGAGUAACCUGCCCUUGACUUUGGGAUAACUUCAGGAAACUGGGGCUCAUACCGGAUAUGAGCUCCUGCUGCAUGGUGGGGGUUGGAAAGUUUCGGCGGUUGGGGAUGGACUCGCGGCUUAUCAGCUUGUUGGUGGGGUAGUGGCUUACCAAGGCUUUGACGGGUAGCCGGCCUGAGAGGGUGACCGGCGACAUUGGGACUGAGAUACGGCCCAGACUCCUACGGGAGGCAGCAGUGGGGAAUAUUGCACAAUGGGCGGAAGCCUGAUGCAGCAACGCCGCGAGCGGGAUGACGGCCUUCGGGUUGUAAACCGCUUUCGCCUGUGACGAAGCGGGAGUGACGGUAAUGGGUAAAGAAGCACCGGCUAACUACGUG
Molecule: ribosomal RNA, 468 nt
Filed under: uncultured bacterium
Lineage: Bacteria
Description: partial 16S ribosomal RNA
Rfam family: Bacterial small subunit ribosomal RNA
Source: RNAcentral